CGGGGAGGUAGUGACGAAAAAUAACGAUACGGGACUCAUCCGAGGCCCCGUAAUCGGAAUGAGUACACUUUAAAUCCUUUAACAAGGAUCCAUUGGAGGGCAAGUCUGGUGCCAGCAGCCGCGGUAAUUCCAGCUCCAAUAGCGUAUAUUAAAGUUGUUGCGGUUAAAAAGCUCGUAGUUGAAUCUGUGUGUCACAGUGUCGGUUCACCGCUCGCGGUGUUUAACUGGCAUUAUGUGAUACGUCCUACCGGUGGGUCGCUCCUACCAUAGGGCGACCCAACUAAUCUCCCAUCGCGGUGCUCUUUACUGAGUGUCGAGGUGGGCCGGUACGUUUACUUUGAACAAAUUAGAGUGCUCAAAGCAGGCUACCUUCGCCUGAAUACUGUGUGCAUGGAAUAAUGGAAUAGGGCCUCGGUUCUAUUUUGUUGGUUUUCGGAACUCCGAGGUAAUGAUUAAUAGGGAUAGAUGGGGGCAUUCGUAUUGCGACGUUAGAGGUGAAAUUCUUGGAUCGUCGCAAGACGGACAGAAGCGAAAGCAUUUGCCAAAAAUGUUUUCAUUAAUCAAGAACGAAAGUUAGAGGUUCGAAGGCGAUCAGAUACCGCCCUAGUUCUAACCAUAAACGAUGCCAGCUAGCGAUCCGCCGAAGUUCCUCCGAUGACUCGGCGGGCAGCUUCCGGGAAACCAAAGCUUUUGGGUUCCGGGGGAAGUAUGGUUGCAAAGCUGAAACUUAAAGGAAUUGACGGAAGGGCACCACCAGGAGUGGAGCCUGCGGCUUAAUUUGACUC
Molecule: ribosomal RNA, 785 nt
Filed under: Melitta eickworti
Lineage: Eukaryota; Metazoa; Arthropoda; Insecta; Hymenoptera; Melittidae
Description: SSU rRNA
Rfam family: Eukaryotic small subunit ribosomal RNA
Source: RNAcentral